GAUCAUGGCUCAGGAUGAACGCUGGCGGCGUGCCUAAUACAUGCAAGUCGAGCGAACAGAUAAGGAGCUUGCUCCUUUGACGUUAGCGGCGGACGGGUGAGUAACACGUGGGUAACCUACCUAUAAGACUGGAAUAACUCCGGGAAACCGGGGCUAAUGUCGGAUAACAUUUAGAACCGCAUGGUUCUAAAGUGAAAGAUGGUUUUGCUAUCACUUAUAGAUGGACCCGCGCCGUAUUAGCUAGUUGGUAAGGUAACGG
RNAcentral lists this ribosomal RNA (259 nucleotides) under uncultured bacterium. Its description in RNAcentral is "partial 16S ribosomal RNA". It matches the Rfam family "Bacterial small subunit ribosomal RNA", at positions 15 to 263 of the family's 1533-position model. The record is from RNAcentral.